RNAcentral lists this ribosomal RNA (253 nucleotides) under uncultured bacterium. RNAcentral describes it as "partial 16S ribosomal RNA". It matches the Rfam family "Bacterial small subunit ribosomal RNA", at positions 524 to 776 of the family's 1533-position model. The record is from RNAcentral.
UACAGAGGUCUCGAGCGUUGUUCGGAUUCAUUGGGCGUAAAGGGUGCGUAGGCGGCGCGGUAAGUCGGGUGUGAAAUCUCGGAGCUUAACUCCGAAACUGCAUUCGAUACUGCCGUGCUUGAGGACUGGAGAGGAGACUGGAAUUUACGGUGUAGCGGUGAAAUGCGUAGAUAUCUGAAGGAACAUCAGUGGCGAAAGCGACUUCCUGGACCAAUACUGACGCUCAUGUGCGAAAGCGUGGGGAGCAAACAGG